UCUUCCUAGACUGAAAUUGCAAAGAGACUGAAUGUGAUCUGUGCCCAGCUCCUUCCUUACUUAUCACAGGAACAUCAGCAACAGGUAAUCCAGACCAUAGAACGUGCCAAGCAGGUGACCAUGGGCGAAUUAAAUGCUGCCAUUGGAGUCCGAGGACUUCCCAUUCUACCACCCCCACCUGCCACGUUUCCCAGACAAUAAUGUAAGUGAUGGUAAACACAGCCACCAUUCGUCUCCCACCUCCACCCUGCCUGGAAAGGAACUGAUAACACCACCACCACACCCCCCACCCAGGAUGAUGGUAAAACUAAAUAAUCUCACCUAUUUAGACUAUGACAUAACAUCUUCCCAAAGUGGGCUCAUGGAAGCCAGGA
Rhincodon typus (whale shark) is the source of this 374-nucleotide long non-coding RNA. RefSeq lists it as uncharacterized. Lineage: Eukaryota; Metazoa; Chordata; Chondrichthyes; Orectolobiformes; Rhincodontidae. The transcript is spliced from 3 exons. The record is from RefSeq and is a predicted model, not a curated record.